AUGAAGUUUAGAAAGCCAAAGUCAUGGCUUUUACAUUCGGCCAAGCUUAGAUUCUCAAUUAGGAUCAAGAUAAACAAAUACCGGAACUUGAUCGGGGGAAACAAAAGUUAGACGGGUAGACGAAAUUAUACGAGCAAUUACGAGACUUCGGAAGCUAGCUCGAUUUUGGACUAGGUCGGAGAUUUGCUAUCACACUAUCCAAGCAAUUUUCGGUACUUUUGGACCUUUUGUAAAUAACGUAAAUAUGACAUGUAUAGUUAAUUUUUUGUAUGAAUUUUGGGGUUUGAUCAAGUUAUGUGAUAUGACUUGAGUUGGAAAUGUUUAGUUUAGAAUGGAAACAUUAUGUGUUAUGUUCAUUUUGGGUGCACUUUGAUAA
Long non-coding RNA from Gossypium raimondii (Peruvian cotton), 376 nucleotides. RefSeq lists it as uncharacterized. The record is from RefSeq and is a predicted model, not a curated record. Lineage: Eukaryota; Viridiplantae; Streptophyta; Magnoliopsida; Malvales; Malvaceae. The transcript has 3 exons.